Molecule: ribosomal RNA, 253 nt
Filed under: uncultured bacterium
Lineage: Bacteria
Description: partial 16S ribosomal RNA
Rfam family: Bacterial small subunit ribosomal RNA
Source: RNAcentral
GACGGAGGGCGCAAGCGUUGUUCGGAAUUACUGGGCGUAAAGGGUUCGUAGGUGGCCAACUAAGUCAGACGUGAAAUCCCUCAGCUUAACUGGGGAACUGCGUCUGAUACUGGAUGGCUUGAGUGUAGGAGAGGAAUGCGGAAUUCCAGGUGUAGCGGUGAAAUGCGUAGAUAUCUGGAGGAACACCGGUGGCGAAGGCGGGUCUCUGGGCCGAUACUGACGCUGAGGAGCGAAAGCGUGGGGAGCGAACAGG